Molecule: non-coding RNA, 673 nt
Organism: Epinephelus lanceolatus (giant grouper)
Lineage: Eukaryota; Metazoa; Chordata; Actinopteri; Perciformes; Serranidae
Source: RefSeq, a predicted model, not a curated record
UCCAAGAAGUGGACCAUUUCUCUUCGGUGAAUAUGUCUAGGAAGGCUGGGAGGACAUGUGCCAUCCUCAGCUGUUCUAAUAACAGCGGAAAACUCCAACUUUGGAACAAAACGAUAUGCAAAAUACACAGCCUCUUACUUCACGUGGACUGUCCAUGUUUUAGACCGUACGGUUUACACAGACUUCCUGGGUGUGCCGAGGACCAAGGUGUUCGCCACAGGUGGCUAAAAAAUAUCAACAGAAAGGACUUUGUUGCCAAUAAAAACAGUACGGUGUGUGGAAUACACUUCCCUGAUGGCAGACCAACGAAGGAACACCCAUACCCUGUAUUGAAUAUGGGAUAUGAACAUCAUGAAACACUGUCAUCUGGAAGUUUGGGAUAAGCAGGGCCACAGCCUGUGAGAUCUUCACAAUGUGGAGACCAGUACUUACAAAGUUCAUGAGAGAAAAAGUUAUUGCUUGGCUGCCUAGAGAUACUCUGAAAAGAAUAAGACCUCAGAGUUUUAGUGAAAACUACGCUAAAGCAACAUGCAUCAUAGACUGCACAGAAAUAUUUGUACAAAGGCCGAAGAACUUAAGGAAACAAUCACAAACAUACAGCAACUACAAACAUCAUAACACCUACAAAGUUCUAUAUUGCAUAGCCCCCAAUGGUUAUGUGAUGUUUGUGUCA